This 959-nucleotide ribosomal RNA is filed under the name uncultured Neocallimastigales. Its description in RNAcentral is "partial large subunit ribosomal RNA". The stretch from base 177 to 959 matches the Rfam family "Eukaryotic large subunit ribosomal RNA", at positions 1 to 647 of the family's 3401-position model. Lineage: Eukaryota; Fungi; Neocallimastigomycota; Neocallimastigomycetes; Neocallimastigales. The record is from RNAcentral.
CCGCAUCUGUGCAUGCAGCAUAUCAAUAAGCGGAGGAAAAGUCAACUACCUACGCUUAGGAUGUUGACGAGACUGUCGAUCUCAUCUAUACAUGACUCUGUGCAUAUCAAUAAGCGGAGGAAAAGGCUGCGGAACUGAGCGACCGCUACCUACGCUUAGGAUGUUGACGAGACUGUCGAUCUCAUCUAUACAUGACUAUGGCAUAUCAAUAAGCGGAGGAAAAGAAACUAACAAGGAUUCCCCUAGUAACGGCGAGUGAAGCGGGAAGAGCUCAAAUUUGAAAUCUUAAAGGGUUUCCCUUUACGAAUUGUAGUUUAAAGAAGUGUUUUCUGUUGAGGUUUUGGUAAAAGUUCUUUGGAAUAGGACAUCAUAGAGGGUGAGAAUCCCGUAUUUGACCUUUACUUUCAACUUUGUGAUACACUUUCAAAGAGUCGGAUUGUUUGGGAAUGCAGUCCAAAAUGGGUGGUAAAUUUCAUCUAAAGCUAAAUAUUGGCGAGAGACCGAUAGCGAACAAGUACCGUGAGGGAAAGAUGAAAAGAACUUUGAAAAGAGAGUUAAACAGUACGUGAAAUUGUCAAAAGGGAAGCGUUUGACACCAGUGUUGUUUUUCUGAAAAUCAAUUAAAGAACUGUUUAUGCUAAGCUGUUUAGACUUUAUCAGCUAACCUGUUUAGUUUUGAGCUUUUCUUUAAUGCACUUUUCAGUUAACAAGUCAACAUCAAUUUCUUUUGCUGUAAAAAAGCUUGAGGAAGGUGGCUUGAGAUUCGUCUUAAGUGUUUAUAGCCUCUUGCCUAUGCAGUCGGAGAGAUUGAGGUCUGCAGCGUAGAUCCUUCGGGGCUAAAUGCAUUUGUGCUAAGUUAUAGCAUUUUAUAGACAACUUGUUGACUAUGAUUUGUCUUGUAGCUUACUCGCUUAUGUUAUUUUACCUACGCUUAGGAUGUUGACGAGACUGUCGAUCUC